UACAGAGGUCCCAAGCGUUGUUCGGAUUCACUGGGCGUAAAGGGUGCGUAGGUGGCCGGGUAAGUCUGACGUGAAAUCUCCGAGCCUAACUCGGAAACUGCAUCGGAUACUAUCCGGCUCGAGGGUUGGAGGGGGGACUGGAAUACUUGGUGUAGCAGUGAAAUGCGUAGAUAUCAAGUGGAACACCAGUGGCGAAGGCGAGUCCCUGGACAACUCCUGACACUGAGGCACGAAAGCUAGGGGAGCAAACAGG
RNAcentral lists this ribosomal RNA (253 nucleotides) under uncultured bacterium. Its description in RNAcentral is "partial 16S ribosomal RNA". It matches the Rfam family "Bacterial small subunit ribosomal RNA", at positions 524 to 776 of the family's 1533-position model. The record is from RNAcentral.